This 1224-nucleotide small RNA is filed under the name Histoplasma capsulatum var. duboisii H88. RNAcentral describes it as "Histoplasma capsulatum H88 hypothetical RNA". Lineage: Eukaryota; Fungi; Ascomycota; Eurotiomycetes; Onygenales; Ajellomycetaceae. The record is from RNAcentral.
CCUGCAAGGGGCGACUCCCACUCGUCAUGGCUAAAACACCUCCCCCUUGGCUAUCUUGAUAUACGCGUUGGAAUAACUAAGAAAUAUGAAACGGAGUAAGACAUAGGCGGCUUUAUGGGAAAAUCAGCUAAUCUUUAAAUAUGUAUGGGCUGUGGUUGUUUGUACUGUACUGUACAUUAAUCCGUACAAGGACAGACAUUUCGGGUAUAUAUUUCUACAGUUGCGAUUGAUACACAUCUACGAAACAAAAAAGGAAUAGAUAAAAGCCAUAUCGCUCACACAUCAUCGCGUCCAUUCUGAUUGUUCAAAAUGAUUCCCCUCUCCUCCAGAAACACUCCGGCAAUCUCCACAUUCCCCGUUGCCAUCGCAGACUCUGCCAAAUCCACUGCCGUUUCCCCGUUCUUAUCCCUCACGUCCAAAUUAGCACCGGAGCGUAGAAGCAGCCGUAUUAACUCGACCUGCACGCGCCAGCACGCUGCGUGCAGCGGUGUCCCACCCCCACGACCCCCUUGAGCGUUGACAUCGCUGCCCUGAGCGAGCAGGUGUUCAAAUACAGAUGUGAGGGCGAAGGAUGUCGCAUAGUACAGCGGUGUGCCGGUGCGUGGGUACAGGUUGUACGUUUUCUGUAGGCGGCGAGGGUUGACGAAGAGGAUCUGCACCCAGGAUAAGAAGUUGGCAGUUGGGGGAUCUGCGAAUAGGGUUGUGGCUUGGAUGUAGAGGGUUGGGUUUUGGGACGGAUUUAGGUAUGGGCGGGCGUGGUCUGCCCAGUUAUGUGAGAUGUACUGCAGCAGAGGCCAGUCCUUUAGCCGUUGUAUCAUAUCUUCAGAGGUUACACAGGGGCCCGUGCUGAAUUGGGAAAGCAUCAGGUAGGUUAAGCAGAGCGUGGAAAGUUCAGGGAGGCAGUGGCAUUCGGGAAGAUAGAAGCGUGGUAGGCUGUUCGCAGCGCAGGAUGAAAGAAGAUAGUCUCGUACGGAAUUAUGGGCAAGGACGACGUAUGGGCCGUCAAGAGAGACGAGAGAGCCGCAGACUUCCAGGAUGUCUUCGGGGUCAUGGAGUCUGUCCUCUGGGUCCAGAGUUGUGAUAUUUGGCUGAAUGAUGGCGCCCUCGGCAAGUUCGGAGAGAGUGAGGGGCCGGCUGGCGUAGGCGAGCCAGAGGAGUGCUUGUCGUGCGAGGGGUAUGUCGUGUUCAGAGAUACGGCCUAAGAUUCGCUCAUAUGUUUCGUCA